GACGAACGCUGGCGGCGUGCCUAAUACAUGCCAGUAGAACGCACAGUUUAUACCGUAGCUUGCUACACCAUAAACUGUGAGUUGCGAACGGGUGAGUAACGCGUAGGUAACCUGCCUGGUAGCGGGGGAUAACUAUUGGAAACGAUAGCUAAUACCGCAUAAUAUUGAUUAUUGCAUGAUAAUUGAUUGAAAGAUGCUAUUGCAUCACUACCAGAUGGACCUGCGUUGUAUUAGCUAGUAGGUGAGGUAACGGCUCACCUAGGCGACGAUACAUAGCCGACCUGAGAGGGUGAUCGGCCACACUGGGACUGAGACACGGCCCAGACUCCUACGGGAGGCAGCAGUAGGGAAUCUUCGGCAAUGGACGAAAGUCUGACCGAGCAACGCCGCGUGAGUGAAGAAGGUUUUCGGAUCGUAAAGCUCUGUUGUAAGAGAAGAACGGGUGUGAGAGUGGAAAGUUCACACUGUGACGGUAUCUUACCAGAAAGGGACGGCUAACUACGUG
This 505-nucleotide ribosomal RNA is filed under the name uncultured bacterium. RNAcentral's name for it is "partial 16S ribosomal RNA". It matches the Rfam family "Bacterial small subunit ribosomal RNA", at positions 28 to 507 of the family's 1533-position model. The record is from RNAcentral.